ACGUUCCUUUCCCUUUCCAGACCCUCCUCCUCCCACCAUCCCCAUCACCUGGAUCAUUGCUGGUCUGGCACUCCCUGUGGUCAUUGUGUGGUUGGAGCUGUGAUCUGGAGGAAGAAGUGUUCAAGGGUGUCCCAGGAGG
Mustela erminea (ermine) is the source of this 139-nucleotide long non-coding RNA. RefSeq lists it as uncharacterized. The record is from RefSeq and is a predicted model, not a curated record. The transcript has 3 exons. Lineage: Eukaryota; Metazoa; Chordata; Mammalia; Carnivora; Mustelidae.